This 189-nucleotide ribosomal RNA is filed under the name Lepus capensis (brown hare). RNAcentral's name for it is "partial small subunit ribosomal RNA". The record is from RNAcentral. Lineage: Eukaryota; Metazoa; Chordata; Mammalia; Lagomorpha; Leporidae.
UAUGGGGAUCUAAUCUCCCAAACUGGGAUUAGAUACCCCACUAUGCUUAGCCUUAAACCUAAAUAAUUUCCUAACAAAAUUAUUCGCCAGAGAACUACAAGCCAGAGCUUAAAACUCAAAGGACUUGGCGGUGCUUUAUACCCGCCUAGAGGAGCCUGUUCUAUAAUCGAUAAACCCCGAUAAACCUUA